RNAcentral lists this transfer RNA (95 nucleotides) under Pseudomonadota bacterium. Its description in RNAcentral is "tRNA-Sec". It matches the Rfam family "Selenocysteine transfer RNA". RNAcentral also lists the same sequence under 2 other names. Lineage: Bacteria; Pseudomonadati; Pseudomonadota. The record is from RNAcentral.
GGAAGGACAUCGUCCCCGGUGGGGCGCCCGGACUUCAAAUCCGGUGAGAUGCGCAGCGCGCGUCUGGUGGGUUCGACUCCCAUGUCCUUCCGCCA